This 553-nucleotide long non-coding RNA is filed under the name Phoenix dactylifera (date palm). Its description in RNAcentral is "long non-coding RNA (PDAC_LNC021871)". The record is from RNAcentral. Lineage: Eukaryota; Viridiplantae; Streptophyta; Magnoliopsida; Arecales; Arecaceae.
UUUUGUUCCAUUGAAGCUUCAGGUAAUUCAAUUUGCUCUUUGCCACUAGAUUUGCUUGCAUAGCCUCAUUCGCAUCCUUCACAUUAUGCAGAUUUUUAAUUUCCAACCCACCGUGAAUAGAGUUCAGAUGUUGCAGCUCCGUGAUGGUACGCCCAUUCUCCCAACCAACAAUGAACAUCCCCAGUGUCUCAAGGUUAGUCAACUGGCCCAGGAAACGAGGCAUGCAAGACAAUGCGUUGCAUUUUGAUAUAUCCAUGUGUCUGAGGUUGCAUAGGUUACUUAUGCCUUCAGGUAAUUCUCGCAGCCGGGAGCAUCCUUGGAGGUUCAAUGUCUGCAAAUUGUAAAGUCUGGUGAUCGAGGUAGGUAAUGUUGUGAUAGCAGUAUAUGAUAGAUCAAGGAAUCGUAGCUGCUUUAAUCUGCUCAUUGUAUCAGGCAACUUCUGAAUUGUACUCCCACUCAAGUCCAAUGCACGUAUUUGGGUGAAUUUUUUGUUAUAUUGAGGAAAAUUUCAUCAGCACCAUAAGGUCCAUAAACCCACCGCUGCCGCCGCGAC